UACAGAGGUCUCAAGCGUUGUUCGGAUUCAUUGGGCGUAAAGGGUGCGUAGGCGGCGUGGUAAGUCGGAUGUGAAAUCUUGGAGCUUAACUCCAAAACUGCAUUCGAUACUGCCGUGCUUGAAGACUGAAGAGGAGAUUGGAAUUUACGGUGUAGCAGUGAAAUGCGUAGAUAUCGUAAGGAAGACCAGUGGCGAAGGCGAAUCUCUGGGCAGAUCUUGACGCUGAUGCACGAAGGCCAGGGGAGCAAACGGG
This 253-nucleotide ribosomal RNA is filed under the name uncultured bacterium. Its description in RNAcentral is "partial 16S ribosomal RNA". It matches the Rfam family "Bacterial small subunit ribosomal RNA", at positions 524 to 776 of the family's 1533-position model. The record is from RNAcentral.